Non-coding RNA from Rattus norvegicus (Norway rat), 13812 nucleotides. The record is from RefSeq and is a predicted model, not a curated record. NCBI's taxonomy places the organism in Eukaryota, Metazoa, Chordata, Mammalia, Rodentia, Muridae.
GGGGACUCCGUGAGACUUGCUUUCCCAUGCACAGGGCCACCUGCCGCACGCUCUCCUGAGGGGCUCCUGCGCUCUGCCCGCCUAUGCUGCUACUGGACCCUGCCUGCCUGCACAGCUCGCAGCCGCGGGAAAAGCAGCUUUGGCCCUGCCCGCCCCUAUCUGCUGCCCCUUCGCCGCUGCCUUCUUUGACCACUCUGAGUACUAUCGUAGUUGCUUUUGGAUGUCCUGUUUGGGCCCACUGCAGCCUGGAGAAAAGCAGCUUUCGCCCUGUCUGAGAAGUCAUUACUCGCUUGACUAUCGGCCUGUGCUUGUUCAUACAGGCACACGUGUGUGUGUGUGUGUGUGUGUGUGUGUGUGUGUGUGUGUGUGUGUGUGUGUGUGUGUCCACGCGCGGAUUGCUGGGAUACAGACCAAGCUACUUUUGGGUGCUUCCCUUUCCGCGCGGGGCAAACUGCCCACAGCCCGAAGCACUGGUCCGUGUCUUCCGUGUCUUCCGUGUCUUUCAGCUGCCAGGAGGAAACUGUCUGGGUCUAAGCGGUGCACCACAGACCGCUCCACCCCCUUGACACCAUCACCACUGCUGCCGCUGCCUCUGUCACUUGUCACUUCCGCUGUUCAGUUGUUGGUCGGUGCUUUGCUUCCUGAGGCACUCACAUGGUAACUCGGUUCCUAGAGGUCUGUGCUCUUCAGGCUGCAGGCUGUGCACGCCUGUCCCUCUCUCCUCCCAAGGCUUGUCUGCCUGCUCAGUUCGUGUCACAGGCCUGAGUCCACCCUGUCACAAGUCUCACAGCACAGCUGUCAGAGUUCUGAUUCUUUCCACUCUGGGCCACACCAACUUUAAGCCAAGUGUUUCUCUACUAAUACAAAAUGCGUUUUUUAAUACUAUGCAACCUAUCAAAGUUACUUAAGAUUUUCAUUUCUAUCCUGUCUUGAUAAUGAUUUUUGCUACUGCCCUUAAAUUAUGAUAGAAUCUCUCGAAGCUUUUAAAGGUUACCCCACAAGGUCUCAGAAGAUAUGGACUCAGCUUCAAGAGGCCUGGAUUGUGAUAUGAUAACCACUGAGAAACACAGUGAACAAAACUGGAGACCUGCAGAGUCAAAUGACUUAUUUAAAUCAAGGUAAGCCAUUUCUUGCCUCACAUAUAUCCAUUCCAGAGAGGAAAAAAAGUCCUCAGUCUUCUGGGCUUGAAAGCCAGACCGACUCCACCCAAGUUGCCAUGGAGACCACAAAGACCAUAGAGAACUGUUUGGACUGUAAGUGAACUCUGUCACAUUUUAAAUAAUUAUGACUGCUAGAUUAUGAUUUAUUUUUCUGACUACAUUGACAGCUAACUAUAGCUUUACACCGAGGGAACAGACCUAACUUCUUACCUAAACUUGUCUCUAGUGACUAGUUCAGAUGUAAGCUUUCACAGAUGUAAUUGGUUCCUUCCUUACCUAAACCAUUUAUUAAAUGUCUCAUAUUUCCUCUUCUUGCUAUGCCACUGUCCUGACAUUAUUUGAGUUCUUAUAAAUUGCCUGACUCUAUACUCCACUAUAUGAUCCAACUGUAGAAUCACAAAUUCUUGUUCCUUCUGUUCCACAAAAAGCUCAUCUUAAAGAAUGUUUGUUCAUGGUAUUACCUCAUGUUGUUACUUACCUCUUCUGUAAAUUUUUUUUUUUUUUGGUUCUUUUUUUUUCGGAGCUGGGGACCCAGGGCCUUGCGCUUCCUAGGUAAGCGCUCUACCACUGAGCUAAAUCCCCAGCCCCCUCUUCUGUAAAUUUAUAAGUUAAAGAAAACCCACUCAGACCUUCCCCUCAUGGACCAGACUCCAGCCAGAUAAGUACAUCUGCCUAAAGCUCCCACUUACCACCUAUUCCAGAGGGUGGAUUCCUCUGUUUUUCAAAUACAGGUCUAUGAAAAAAAUGUCUUCCUCCCAAGCACACCCAGUCUUGUUCUCUGCCUUCAGUAUAUGCUGUCAUCUUGCCAGGCACUUACAGCUCAGACAGCUCCAGAGAGGCGACCUCCAGACGCUCCAACUCCUCUCACAGACACAGACGCUUCUAUUGGACCUGUUCCCUCUGACCCAUCCUCAGAUGGCCCCACAGACCCUGGACAAACACCCCCAUAUUCUCUCUUCUAGGAAACCUAGAGACAAGUCACCCAAAGCAACCAGGAAGUAGUGAGAAAUCAUGACAACCCUAUUCCUGCUUCACCAUCACCUCUUUCUAAUUUUUUUCUUUAAUUUAACCAAAACAGGGGAAUGUUAGCAUUCUGUCUAAGCUCCACCCCAGUUACCUGGCAACAGCGAGGUAUGCUCUGCCCCGCAGUCACCUGGUAGCAGACAGGUGUGCCUACCUAUGAAGGGGCGCUCGCCUCCUCAUUCCCUUGCUCCUGCUCUCCCCCAUUCCCUUUCCCCUCUCCUCUCUCUCUCUCUCUCUCUCUCUCUCUCUCUCUGCCUUUCUCCACCUCUACUACCUUCUUGACUCCCCUCUCCAUGCCCUGAAUAAACUCUGUUCUUUCUAUGCUAUACCAUUGCAUGGCUGGUCCCUCCAGGAGAAGGGAUGCCUCAGCAUGGGUCCACAGAGGCUCCCCCUUUCCCCGUGCCCGACUACACCUCCACAAAACAUAUAAACACAUCAGGAACCAUGGACAAAGCCCUAGGUCCCAUGAGCAGAGCUGCACAAUAAAACUAAUAAUAAUAACAUGAAGAAGAAGAGAACGUUUCACUCUGUAGACCAGGCUGGCCUCAGACUCACAGAAAUAUACCUUCCUCUAUCUUUUGGGUACUGGGUUUAAAGUCCUAUACUAGUGCAGUGGUGACACAUGCCAUUAAUCCCAGCACUCAGGAGGCAGAGGCAGGCAGAUCUCUGAGUCUGAGACAAGCCUGGUCUACAGAAUGAGUUCCAGGACAGCUAGGGCUACUCACCCUCAAAACCCUGUCUUGAAAAACAAAAACUAAUCCAUUAAUGGCUUAGAAUCAAAGAAUGUAUACACACUUUUUGAACAUUUAUUUAUUAUGUAUACAUCAUACAGCUUUCUGCCUGCAUGUACGCCUGAAGGCCAGAAGAGGGCACCAGGUCUGACUAUAGAUGUUUUGAGCCACCAUGUGGUUGCUGGGAAUUGAACUCAGGACCUCUGGAAGAGCAGACAGUGCUCUUAACCUCUGAGCUAUUUCUCCAGCCCCGAAUGUAUACACUCUUGAGAAAACAUAUGUAUGGCCCCCAAAACGCCUGUCAGGUGACUUACAAACUGUAAGUCCAGCUGCAUGGAGCCCAGUGCUCCCGGCUCCUCAGGCUCUGGUACUCACAGGCAAGCACAAACCCACACAGAGACACACAUGGUUUUUAAUGUGAAGACCUUGGGUGCACAGCUGCUUACACGGAAGUUGCCUACACUCGCUCUCAGAGUGGACUACGGCUCUUCUGUUAGAGGGAAAUGAGAAAGUUUAGGUUUGUUGGGAUUAUUUUUCACCAGCCAAUCGGCAAGCCAGAUCUGUGGAAAAAGACAAACUAAAGUUAAUAAACAUCUCAAUAUUUCCUUUUGAUGUACAAUGAACAUAGCAACUGAAAAUUUCAAAAUGCUUAAAAAAAAUUUUUUUUUGAGACAGGGUCUCACAGCCAAGGCUAUCUGGAAUUUGCUGUGUAGAUCAGGCUGGCCUUGAACUCCUAGAGCUCCAACUGCCUCUGCUUCCUAGUGCCGAGGUUAAAGGUGCCCUCAGGGUGGGGGUGCGGGUGGGAUGGAGGUGUUGAAGUUCAGCUCCUAAGUCUGUUCUGCAUGCCUGAUGGAUCACAGCUUGGGCACAAUGUAUUUUUGAUUUCUGUCUGACCUGAUGCUUGAGUUGUGUUGGAUCUAAGCCAACCCCAUAACAAGCCCAGUGUAGAUGCUGAACUAAAGCAGGAGGAAACAGCAAAGAGAGCCAUGGGGGAGUGGGGCACUAAGUCAUUAGAACUGUAGCAAUGUAGAGACUGCAGCAACCACACACACACACACACACACACACACACACACUCACACACACUCACACACGCAAACACACACAUUCACACACACAUGCAAACACAUACACACACUCACACACAUGCAAACACACACAUGCAAACACACACAUACUCACACACACAUGCAAAUACACACACUCACACACACAUGCAAACACACACUCACACACACUCACACACACACCCUCGAGCCUUUUAGGUUGUAUGGCCAGCCUGAACAGUGUUAAUAAGAAACGUAUGAAACAGCUGGACAGUGGUGGCACACACCUUUGAUCUCAGAACAGCAGGAGGAUCUUUGAGUCCAAGGCUAGCCUGGUCUACAGAGUGAGUUCUAGGAUAGCCAGGGCUACACAGAGAAACCCUGUCUUGAAAACAAACAUAGAAGCCAAAGAAUAAAAAUAAAGGUCCUCCAGAGAGACAGAUAGACAAACAAACACACACAAAAUAAAAUAAAGGUCCUCCAGAGAGACAGACAGACAAACAGACACAUACACACACACACACACACACACACACACACACACACACACACACCCCAAAAUAAAUAAAUGUAACUACAUACUUUUUAAAAAUAAAGAGAUAGGGUCUGGGGAUUGGCUAGCUGGUGGAAUGCUUGCCUGUUAAAUACAAAGCCUUGGACUUGAUCCCAGCACCUGGUAAACUGGCGCCCAUAUGCAAUCCCAGCCUUUUGGAGGUAGAGGCAGGAGGGUCUGAGGUUAAAGUCAUCCUUGGCUACACAACUCGUUUACACCACCUCAGGAUGCAGGGAAUCCUCUCUCACAAAAACAAACAAACAAACAAACAAACAAUCUUGGUAGAAGGUGGAGGGCUAGACAAGUGACCCAGCAAGUAAAGUUUCUGGCCACCAAGCCUGGAGAUCAGAUUCUGAGGACUCUUACAGCAGGAGAGGGACCUCCAACCUCCUAUGUGUGCUGUGGUACACACAAUGAGUAAGUAAUAAAUAUGUAAUUGUUAUAAAAAAUGUUGGGGCUGGAGACAGGGCUCGGCAGUUAAACAUACUGACCGCUCUUCCAGAGAUCCUGAGUUCAACUCCCAGAGUCCAGAAAAACAAACAAAAUUAAAAAAGAGAGAGAGAAAGAAACUUUAAUGGAGGGUGAAAGGCACACAGGGCUUACCCCUUCUAGGGAUUCACAGGAAGGUAAUGGUUGAUGGAGAGGGAGUCACAGUGUCUUCAGUGCUGCAGUCAUGGGUGAGGGAGGUACCCUUGCUCAUUUAAACUAACCCUCACCAAUGCUGCUGUAAACAACCCUAGUGAAACUCAGACAAAAGAAACAAAGACAUGCCAGGCCAGCAGCACAGGGGUUAGCUGGAAAGAGGAAAGGAGUCGGCAGGAGUGGGUCAGAGGGAUGCGCACACAUUUGUGAUCAGAUACAUUUUCUACUGUAGGCCAGCUAGGGCUAGACAGUGACCUCGUCUAAAAACCAACAUUCAAGGCCAGCCUGGUCUAUAUCUAAAGUUCUAGGGCAGCCAGGGCUUCAUAGUGAAGCCCUGUCCCCUGCCACAGACAAACAAGCAAAAGAAACCACCCAACAUUAUGUACAUGUAAGAAAAUGUCAUAAUAUCUCAUUAUGUAUAACUACGCCAUGCUAAUACAAAGAAUAAGAAAAUGGAAUCCAGGUGUGGUGGCUCACUCCUGUAAUCCCAGCACUAGGGGAUGAGGGAGGUCUAGAGGCAGGAGAAUAACAAGUUUGAGCCAGUCUGGGCUAUAUAGCAAAGUCCAAGGCCAGCCUGUGCUACAUAGCAAGAUCGUGCCUGAAAAAAGAAAGGCAGGCCUAGCAAGGCAAGGAAGGUAAAGUAGGAGAACCAAGACCUAAGGCCUGGGCUGGGGCGAUGGCGUGUGUCCUGCUCUCCCAGAAAACCUGAGUUCAGCUCCCAGCACCCACGUCAGGCAGUGCAUAGCCACCUGUACCUCUAGCUCUAGGGAAACUCACACCAUCUGCCCUCCUUCUGUAAAGAAGCAAAGAAAAAAAUGAUUUUUUUUUCUAUAAAGGGUUUAAGACAGCUUGGGCUACAGAAAGAGACCUUUCCUCAAAAUUAAAUAGAGUGUGUCUGAAGAGAUGGCUCUGCUGUUAAGAGCACACGUUGGUUUUGUUUAGGGCCUGAGCUCCAUCUCCAGCACCCAUAUGUCUGCUCACAGCUGCCCUGACUUCAGUCUCAAGAACCCCACGUCCUCUUCUGACUUUUCCAGCCACCAGGAAAGCAUACAGUACACAGACAUAUAUGCAGGCAAAACACUCAUCCAUAUAAAAUCAGUGAAUCUAAAACUAUAUACUAAAUAAAUGACCGAAAUCAAAACAGAAAACCUUGAAACUAUUACUUGUGGCGGUAAAACAAGUACAGCUCAAAGGGAGAGGUGAGCCUGUCUUUGUCGUAGAAGGCAAUGAUCCCACAGGAACGAACUCCAUCCAGAGAUCAGCUACGGUUCCUCCUGCCUGUAAGCCCAGCACUCGGGAGACUGAGGUGGAGGGGCCUAGGUUCAGGGCCAGCCGGCUUUACAAAGGACUCACCCCCCAACCCCCACCUCAUCUCUCUUUUUUUCUUCAUUUUUUAAAAGAGAUUUAUUUUAUUUAUAUAAAUACCCUGUAGCUGUCUUCAGACACACCAGAAGAGGGCAUCUGAUCUCAUUACAGAUGGUUGUGAGCCACCAUGUGGUUGCUGGGAUUUGAACUCAGGACCUCUGGAAGAGCAGUCAGUGCUCUUAACCACUGAGCCAUCUCUCCAGCGCCUGUCUUUCUUUCUGCCUCUGUCUCUCACUCACAUUCAUGCGUGUGUGUGUGUGUGUGUGUGUGUGUGUGUGUGUGUGUGUGUGUGUCCCACACAUGUUGAACUUGAACCUGGAUUCAGAGUUCCCAGACAAGGUUCCCAAACUCCUGGCAGGAUGCUCUCAGCAUCAUGAAUAUGCAAAUCAGCCAUUGUCACAUCUACUAGGGCAGCUGUUAAUGAGCAAGUAAAACAAUAGACACGGUGGUGCAAAGAGAAACUGGAGCCCUCACACCUUGCAAAUGGGAGGGUAGAAUGGAACAACCACCCGUGUAAAAGAUUGGGCAGUUCCUGACAGGAACCGGACUGGAACUGAGCAGUAGCUCCAGUAACAAUAACGAGCCCAGUAACUGCAUUCCUAUAUACUGACACACAACUGGAAACUGGACUCACACGAUCGAACGGGCACUAUUCACCCAUGGAAAGGAUGGGAUCGUGACACAUGCUUGUCACUACUGACUGGCUAAUAAAACAGUGAAAUAAGCCAAACACAGGUUUAUAUUUUUCUGUGUUGGAAACUUGUCUUAGGGUUUCAUUGCUGUGAAAAGAUAACAUGACCAAGGCGGCUAACUCUUAAAAAGGCUAACAUUUAAGUGGGGCUGGCUUACAGUUUCCGUCUUUUAUCACGGCAGGAUGCAUGCAGCAGAAGGGGACUGUCUUCUGCAGGCAGCCAGGGGGAAGCUCUCUUUCUGGUGCCAAGCCUCAGUCCUUUGCGUGACCCAUUUAGUCCUGGGCUUUCAAGGGCCACUGAGGCUACACCUUCACCUUUCCUGGCCUCUCACAGUGUCCAGCCUCGGCUGCUCUCCAUGACCCCUUCAUGCCUUCAAAACCAGUAAGUACCACUGGGAUGAUCCUUACACAUUACCAAGUCCAGCUGCAGCACAAGGCACACCAUUGGCUGUGUGUGGAACAUAGCUUCUUGUGCUCUCAGAAAACACUUCCCAGAAGAUUGAUGCUGGUUUCUUCUUAAUCACCGCUAAUUUCUUAGCACCAGCUGACCAGCAUCAAUUGACCCAGUAUCCAUUCUAUUAUUGACGGUAAAGCCAGAGCCACAUGUCUCAAGCCGCCCGGGGCUGGCCUCCUUGACUAUUACAUCUUCACAAGUUUUCUGUUUUCAGUGAUUUCCUUCGUUUCCUAAGCCUGCCUAUCCUGGCUUUGUAAACUGACUUUGAACUCAGAGAUCUGCAUGCCUCUGUCUCCUGAGUACUGAGUGCUGUACAACCAUCAGACCUCAAAGCCCCAACUCCACAAUGACGCACUUCCUCUAACAAGGCUCACCUCCCCCAAUAAGGCCACACCACCUAAAAGUGCCACUUCCCUUGGGCCAAGCAUUUUCAAACCACCACAAAGUGAAGCCCCCACCACUUUGGCUAUGCCCAGUAAGUGCCCUGCUAUCACACCACACCCCUAACACCAUGUGUGCUGCCGGGAAGGCAUACAUGCCAGAGUGCACCUGUGGAGGUCAGAGGGCAGCUUUUGGGAGCUGAUUCUCUACUUACAUUCUGUCCCUCCCCAGUCCCCAACACACACCAUUGAGGGGGUUGUACUGGGUCUCACUAUAUAGUCUUGACUGGCCUGAAAUUCACUGUGUGGACCAGACAAACUUCGAAUUCACAGAGAUCUGCCUGACUCUACCUUCUAAGUACUGGGAUUAAAGGCACUGGCCACAGUGACCAGUCUACCUUUUUAAAUUUUUUUUUCUUUUCUUCUCUUUUUUUUUUUUUCCGUUCUUUUUUUUUUGGAGCUGGGGACCGAACCCAGGGCCUUGCACUUCCUAGGCAAGCGCUCUACCGCUGAGCUAAAUCCCCAACCUUUUUUUUCUUUUCUUUUCUUUUCUUUUUUUUCUUCGGAGCUGGGGACUGAACCCAGGGCCUUGCGCCUUUUUAAAUUUUUAUUUUGAGGCACUGUCUCACUAAAUUGUCUUGCUUGGUUACCACAGAGUCAACACCCAAGCAAGCCUCAGAACCUGUGAGUCUUCAGACUGAAAGAAUAAAUAUUUAAGUAGGCAUGGUGGUGUCUUUAGUCCCAGCCCUCAGAAGGCAGAGGCAAGUAGAUCUGUGAGAGCUUGAGGCCAGCCUGGUCUACACAGUGAGCCCUAGGACAGCCAAGACCACAUAGUGAGACCCUCUCUCACAAACAAACAAGUUUACAGUUUGAAAUAUGAAAACCACAAACAGUAAGUAUUCUCCAAUGAGAAUAAAAAAGUAUCUUACGGGGGUUGGAGAGAUGGCUCAGUGGUUAAGAGCACUGAUUGCUCUUCCAGAGGUCCUGAGUUCAAAUCCCAGCAACCACAUGGUGGCUCACAACCACCUGUAAUGAGAUCUGAUGCCCUCUUCUGGUGUGCCUGAAGACAGCUACAGUGUACUUAUAAAUAAUAAAUAAAUCUUAAAAAAAAAAAAGUAUCUUACGUAAGGAUCUGCUGGCUUUUGCUUGCAAAGCUCUGUGAGUCCUUGAAGUAGGGUUGGUGCUACGUACAAAUUCAAAUAGUCCUUAGCAGCUUGUCCAAUUGGAAUGGGUUCGAUAAUCACUGCAAAUACAAAGAAGUUCUUACUAAAAAGCAAAUAUAAGUGAUUAAACAUUAUACAGCUAUGAGAAAAGGGAUGCCUUCAAGAGUGUAUAACUGUCAUGAUGUGAACUUUAAAUCUGAGUUUUACAUCUUUACAUUUAUUAUUAAGGUAUUAUAAUUGAUAUUAUUACUGGCUAUCUGGUAGGGUCUCCCUGUAGUCCAGGCUUGUAUAGAACUCACUAGGCUAGCAUCAAACCCACAGUGAUCUUCCUGCCUGGUCAUCUGGAUGCUGUCAUAGCAGUUGUUAUGCCUACACUGUACCUGUUUAUUAAGGAACUAUUUACACAUGGUGCUUGCUAAAUUUGUGAUUAUACAGAGAAAUAAAUAUAUUUAUUUAUUUUAUGUAUAUAAAUUACACUGUAGCUGUCUUCAGACACACCAGAAGAGGAUGCUGGAUCCCAUUACAGAUGGUUGUGAGCCACCAUAUGGUUGCUGGGAAUUGAACUCAGGAUCUCUGGAAGAGUAGUCAGUGCUCUUAACCACUGAGCCAUCUCUCCAGCCCCCAUAAAUACAAUUUAAAAUUAAACUAAAUAACAAUAACCCACACACACAAGAGAAGAAGCCAAUCCAAACCAAUGCUGGCAGCUGCUCAGGAGGCUGGCCCAGAUAAAUCAAACACGCUCACAGGUGGAUAGCAGGUUUGCCCGUGGAUAGGACAUUGAGACCUUGCCUCAAAGCAGAGGGCUGGACAAACAGGCUGCAUGCAGUGCAUGCCUGAAAUCCCAGUGCUCAGAAGGUGGAGGAAGGAAGAGCAGUAGUUCAAGGCCAACCAAGACAUACGGGCCUGUCUCAAAAUAAAAAAAAGGGGGGGGGAGGAGCUCAAUGGCUAAGGUCAACUUUUCUUCCAGAGGACCCCAAAUUCAGAUCUCAGCACCCACAUAAAGCGGUUCACAACUGUCUGUAACUCCAACUCCAGGGGCCCAAUGCCUUCUGGCCUCUGAGACCAUCUGCUCGCAUGUGGUAUACAUUCACAUAGACAUGAACAAAAAUAGGAUAAUCUUAAAAAUAACUAGGUAGGGGCUGGGGAUUUAGCUCAGUGGUAGAGCGCUUACCUAGGAAGCGCAAGGCCCUGGGUUCGGUCCCCAGCUCCGAAAAAAAGAACCAAAAAAAAAAAAAAAAAAAAAAAAAACUAGGUAAAUAAAGGAGGCCUAAGCAGCUCACUGGCAAUGGUUUGCCUGGGACGGAGCCCUAGGUCCACCCCCCAGUACGUAAAGACAGCACACUAUUCCUCUGUAUGUCUGCUUUUUAAAGGCUCACCGGCUUCAUGAUUUCAAAUUGGAGGAAAUGGGAAAAGAAGUGGAAUUAUCAUUUCCACAUUGAUUUAUGACUUUCGUAGCUUGUUUUGUUUGGAAAAAGACAAGUUUACUGAGUGCAGAACAAAGGAGCAGUGAUUGGGGCGGAGACAGAGCGCCCCCCUGCACUAUUCUUGCUAAUUUGUUACCUCUUCUAUGCUCCACCCUCCACGUACCAACAGGUUUCUGAAGCCUCAUGGGUAAUUAGGAAGAAUUACAACAGAAACAGAGUAUCUAGUUCAGGAGAAAGAAAGAAAGAAAGGAAGGAAGGAAGGAAGGAAGGAAGGAAGGAAGGAAGGAAGGAAGGAAGGAAGGAAGAAAGAAAGAAAGAAAGAAAGAAAGAAAGAAAGAAAGAAAGAAAGAAAGAGGGGUUGGGGAUUUAGCUCAGUGGUAGAGCGCUUGCCUAGGAAGAGCAAGGCCCUGGGUUCGGUCCCCAGCUCCGGAAAAAAAAGAACCAAAAAAAAAAGUCAGGACCACCAGCCCAGGAGUGGCACCACCCAUAAUGGGCUGGGCCCUACCCCAUUGGUCACUGUGGAAAUGCCUUACAUGGCAUGGAGCAAGGAAGCGCAAGGCCCUGGGUUCAGUCCCCGGCUCCAGAAAAAAAGAAAAAAAAGAAAAAAAAAAAAGGAAGGAAGGAAGGAAAGCAAGCUAGCAAGCAAGCCCCUCUCUAGAGCUUCCCAAGGGACACUGUAGGUGAUGUUUACUUUUCUACUUUUGGCUUCUAGACUUGUUUUGUUUGGUUUUCUGGUUGUUACUGCUUUUUAAAGAAACACUUAUUUUAUGUAUAUGAAUGUUUUGUCUGCAUAUAUGUACCUGCACCAGCUGUAUGCUCGGUGCCCAGGGGGGUCAGAGAGGGUGCUGGAGUCUCUAAAUUAGAGUUGGGAACUGCAGUGAGCCCACAUGGUGCUUGGAACUUAACUCUGGUCCUUUGCAAGAACAGCCAGUGCUCUCAGCUGCUGAGCCUUCCCUCCAGCCCGUGGUUUAGCCUUUGUAGCAUUGAGACGGGUCUCUAUGUAGCCCUGGCUGGCCUGGAACUUGCAGAGACCCACCUGCCAGGUGCUGAGAGGCUUUUUUGUUUGUUGUUUUUGUUUUGAUUUCUUGUGAGCUAAGGUCUGGAGAUGCCCAGAUCAACUUCCCAUAGGACCAACACUUGAACUGCUGAUCCUCCUGCCCUCACUCUGUAGGGUUAAGAUUAGGAUUACAGACUUGUGGCCCCAUGCCCUACUUUAUCUAGUGCUGGGAUUCGAACCCUGGACUUCCCAGGAGCUCAGCAAACCCCACAACCAACGGAGCUGCAUCCCAGACCCUUCUAGCUUUAAGUUUUAAUGACUCAAAGCCUGAAAAUAUACCAAAGCAUGUUUGAGGGAAAAUUCUAUCUUCCUUCCCAGCCAUUUUUUUUAAAAGAUUUAUUUAUUAUAUGUAAGUACACUGUAGCUGUCUUCAGACACACCAGAAGAGGGCAUCAGAUCCAAUUACAGAAGGCUGUGAGCCACCAUGUGGUUGCUGGGAUUUGAACUCAGGACCUCUGGAAGAGCAGUCUGUGCUCUUAACCCCUGAGCCGUCUCUCCAGCCCAAAAGUAACUAGCACACCACGUGGUUCCACCGGGGCCUUCUGCGUGUAAAGCAGACGUGAUAACCGCUACACUAUGGAACCAGGCCACUUUUUUUCAAGAUACAAAAUAAACUUUAAGAGGCGCAGUGAAGAAAGCAGGCGCAACAGACUCACCUUCUGGAAACAUGAACCUAAUCUCUCGUUCUGAGGCCGCAAAGUCGUUGCUCCCGUGAAGUGCAUUCCUUAGCUCAUCUGUGCCGUAUAUCGCCCUUAAGCUAGAGAGAAUUAAAGACACUGUCCCUCCAUUCUGACACACCUUCCAUCCUUCCCAUUAGAGAGUUCGAGGGAGGAGGCACAGGAGGAGGUCAGAGGACUACUCUGGGAGUGGUUCUUCCCUUCAAGGUCAUGGGUCCUGAGUUCAAAUCCAGAUCUUUCUGCUUGGCAGCAUUCACUUUACCCACUGAGCCAUCUUGCCAGCAUUUUUUUCUAAUUUUUUUUAGACAAUUCAUCACUAAUUUAAUCUUAAGCUUUUAAUCUACUUAGAUGAGGGCCAAAUACAUUUCUGUAUGCCAGUAGCAUCCACUGUGGAAACAAGCAGUCUUUAGGGGAAGAAAGUAUUUUAUGAGACAUGAAAAGAAAUAUAAAUUCAAAACUGCAAUAACUUUCAUUUCUGGAAACUAGUGCUCAUGUUGCAAUAGCCUUGGCUGGCCCAAAACUCUCAGAAAUUUGCCUGCCUCUGUCUCUGAAGUCCCGAGGUUAAAUGUAUGUACCACCAUCUCUGGAAAACAAAAUUUAAAAAGUCUUACUUUCUUAUUAAAGAUCCUAUUUCAGGAUCAGUGAGUUGCUCAGCUGCUAAAAGCACUUGCCACCAAGCCUAAUGAUCUGAAUUCUGUCCUUGAACUAAUAGGGUGGAAAAGAAGAAAAUCCCACGAGUUGUAGCUGACCUCCACGUGUGCAAGACACACAUGCCCACAAGCAAUAAAUAAAUAAAAUGUAAUUUUACAAAUCUGACUUCAUAGCUAUGUGCUAUAUAUAACCCAGCACCGAUUUCGGGGACUGGGGGUUGGUGGGGGUGGCUGAAGUAGGAGGAUGGUCACAAACUCAAAGCUAGCCUGGGCUACACAGUGACUUAUAGGCCAGCUUAGGCUACAGAGCAAGAACUAGUCUCAAAAAACAUUAAAACAAAUAAACAAAAGCAGGGUGGUGGCAGUGUAUACCUCAGUACUCGGAGGUGGAGGCAGGGGGAAUCUUUGUGAGUUUGGGGCCAGCCUGGUCUAAAGACCAAGCUCCAGGACAACACAGAGAAGCCCUGUCACAAACAAACAAACAAACCAAAAUCAAUUAAUCAGGAACUCGUUCUUUAGAGGCAGUUUAAUGCCAGGCUGACCAGCAGUCAGUGAGUUGUUCUCUGCCGCCCUCUACAGCACUGGAUAUUAAGAUAGAUUUGCAGGGCUGGAGAAAUGGCUCAGCGGUUAAGAGUUCCGACUGCUCUUCCAGAGGUCCUGAGUUCAAUUCCCAGCAACCACAUGGUAGCUCACAACCAUCUGUAAUGAGGUCUGGUGUGUCUGAAGACAGCUACAGUGUACUCGUAUACAUUAAAUAAAUAAAUAAAUAAAUAAAUAAAUCUUUAAGAAAAAAAAA